UUACACAUGCAAGUCGACGAUGAACCACCUUCGGGUGGGGAUUAGUGGCGAACGGGUGAGUAACACGUGGGCAAUCUGCCCUGCACUCUGGGACAAGCCCUGGAAACGGGGUCUAAUACCGGAUACUGACCUGCCAAGGCAUCUUGGCGGGUCGAAAGCUCCGGCGGUGCAGGAUGAGCCCGCGGCCUAUCAGCUUGUUGGUGAGGUAAUGGCUCACCAAGGCGACGACGGGUAGCCGGCCUGAGAGGGCGACCGGCCACACUGGGACUGAGACACGGCCCAGACUCCUACGGGAGGCAGCAGUGGGGAAUAUUGCACAAUGGGCGCAAGCCUGAUGCAGCGACGCCGCGUGAGGGAUGACGGCCUUCGGGUUGUAAACCUCUUUCAGCAGGGAAGAAGCGAAAGUGACGGUACCUGCAGAAGAAGCGCCGGCUAACUACGUGCCAGCAGCCGCGGUAAUACGUAGGGCGCAAGCGUUGUCCGGAAUUAUUGGGCGUAAAGAGCUCGUAGGCGGCUUGUCGCGUCGGUUGUGAAAGCCCGGGGCUUAACCCCGGGUCUGCAGUCGAUACGGGCAGGCUAGAGUUCGGUAGGGGAGAUCGGAAUUCCUGGUGUAGCGGUGAAAUGCGCAGAUAUCAGGAGGAACACCGGUGGCGAAGGCGGAUCUCUGGGCCGAUACUGACGCUGAGGAGCGAAAGCGUGGGGAGCGAACAGGAUUAGAUACCCUGGUAGUCCACGCCGUAAACGGUGGGCACUAGGUGUGGGCAACAUUCCACGUUGUCCGUGCCGCAGCUAACGCA
RNAcentral lists this ribosomal RNA (797 nucleotides) under Streptomyces coelicoflavus. RNAcentral describes it as "bacterial SSU rRNA". It matches the Rfam family "Bacterial small subunit ribosomal RNA", at positions 49 to 859 of the family's 1533-position model. Lineage: Bacteria; Bacillati; Actinomycetota; Actinomycetes; Kitasatosporales; Streptomycetaceae. The record is from RNAcentral.